RNAcentral lists this ribosomal RNA (325 nucleotides) under Pythium insidiosum. Its description in RNAcentral is "SSU rRNA". It matches the Rfam family "Eukaryotic small subunit ribosomal RNA", at positions 1508 to 1831 of the family's 1831-position model. The record is from RNAcentral. Lineage: Eukaryota; Oomycota; Peronosporomycetes; Pythiales; Pythiaceae.
GCGUUCACGAGUAUACAACCUUGAUCGAUAGGUCUGGGUAAUCUUGUGAAUGCGCAUCGUGCUAGGGAUAGAUUGUUGCAAUUUUCAAUCUUGAACGAGGAAUUCCUAGUAAACGCAAGUCAUCAGCUUGCAUUGAUUACGUCCCUGCCCUUUGUACACACCGCCCGUCGCACCUACCGAUUGAAUGACUCGGUGAGAAAUCGGGACCGUGAAUCCGUUUGCUUCAUUGCGAAUGGACUUAUGGAAACUUUUUCUAACCUCGCCAUUUAGAGGAAGGUGAAGUCGUAACAAGGUUUCCGUAGGUGAACCUGCGGAAGGAUCAUUA